GGGCCUGUAACUCAGACGUUUGGAGCGCUGUGCUGAUAGGGCAGGGACCCGUGGUUCGAGUCCACGCAGGCCGA
RNAcentral lists this transfer RNA (74 nucleotides) under Caldilineaceae bacterium. RNAcentral's name for it is "tRNA-Ile". It matches the Rfam family "tRNA". Rfam says of the family: Transfer RNA (tRNA) molecules are approximately 80 nucleotides in length. The record is from RNAcentral. Lineage: Bacteria; Bacillati; Chloroflexota; Caldilineae; Caldilineales; Caldilineaceae.